AGUCAUACGCUCGUCUCAAAGAUUAAGCCAUGCAUGUCUAAGUAUAAACAAAUCUAUACUGUGAAACUGCGAAUGGCUCAUUAUAUCAGUUAUAGUUUAUUUGAUAGUGUUUUUACUACUUGGAUAACCGUAGUAAUUCUAGAGCUAAUACAUGCUACAACUCCCGACUUUUAUGGAAGGGAUGUAUUUAUUAGAUGGAAACCAAUGCGGAGUUCUCUCCGGUUUUGUGGUGAAUCAUGAUAACUGUGCGAAUCGUAUGACCUUGAGUCGACGAUGAAUCAUUCAAGUUUCUGCCCUAUCAGCUUUGGAUGGUAGGGUAUUGGCCUACCAUGGCUUUAACGGGUAACGGAGAAUUAGGGUUCGAUUCCGGAGAGGGAGCCUGAGAAACGGCUACCACAUCUAAGGAAGGCAGCAGGCGCGCAAAUUACCCAAUCCUGACAUAGGGAGGUAGUGACAAGAAAUAACAAUAUAGGGCUUUCCAUGUCUUGUAGUUGGAAUGAGUAGAAUUUAAAUCCCUUUGCGAGUAUCAAU
RNAcentral lists this ribosomal RNA (531 nucleotides) under uncultured eukaryote. Its description in RNAcentral is "bacterial SSU rRNA". It matches the Rfam family "Eukaryotic small subunit ribosomal RNA", at positions 22 to 548 of the family's 1831-position model. The record is from RNAcentral.